CAGUCCCAAGGCCACACCAGCAGCCCCCGGCACAGUCAUGCAGUGCCACGGAAGGGAAGAUACUAAUUUCAAACUAACUCUUCACCUCUAUCAUUUAAUCUUCUGACACUGCCUAGAGGCCUGCAGGAGGAGUUACUCCCAUUUUAUAGGGAGGCAGCUGGAACUGGAGUGGUGGAGAGACUUGCCUAGGUGUGGAGCCUCCCUCAGCAGAUCUGGGCAUGGAGCUCAGACGGGAGGAUACUGGCACACACAGCUGUGUCCAGAGUCACUCAGCAGGCCAGAACUGGGCCCCGGGAGGUAGAGAGGAGGGCAGAACCUUCCUCCCAGUUUGGAGUUAUGAGCUUCACAUUGCUGACUUGGAGGAGGAGCUGAGAUUCUUGCAGACACUGCUGAAGCCAGGGAAGGGCCUGGUCCCUGACUGCUAAUCGUGUUAAGCAGUGGGCGACUGGGAAAGUGUGCUGCUGGAGAGAACAGAGGGGCCAUUCUGCCUUCCUGCUACUGCCAGCUAGCGGGGAACAGUGCCUGCACACACACCAUGCUGCAUGCCUGCCCUCCAAACCAGGACAUGCCCAGCUGGGUUCUUUCCAGAGGCUAAUUCCAAUUGCCCUAUGGACAGAGGUGAAGCUGAACUGGUGCUGCAUUGGGUGCAAUCUGGAUUUGCUAUUGCUGCUCUUGCAAUAGAACUGUUUGUUAUAGUUGCACUUGGCUGGCACUGGACAGCAGCUCGAAGCCAUUCGGGCCCCCGUUCUGUUCAUUUUUAGUGCCUGUCUAGCAUCUCAGUAUGCAGCACGUAAUAGGCAACUUACAGGUGUGUGCGUCAUUGACAUCACUGAACUGAUUCGAAGGAUGCCUCUGGUGUUACCAAGGCGUCUAACACUCAGAAAUCAAUGCAGCAGGGAAGGAAUGGACCCUGCUUUCAGAUAACCAGGCUGGUGGUCAGCAGCGUCUUGACUUCUAGUCUGUAGUCUCUGAAUAGCAUACCUGUUUCCAGGACUCUCACUACACACUUAUUUUUUCUUUUAACUAUGAUGUCAGUGCUGUAACACGGUCCCAUUGCUGCUUCGCUUCUCCAGCAAUGGGCUGUUGAACAGCUACUCUGUUAUGUAUUAAACACAGCUCUUAUAUUAAAAAAAAAAUGGCUAAGGGCUUUGAACAUUGAUUUCUACCCUCAGGCUAGAGGUGUUUCUGUUGGGAAGUGGG
RNAcentral lists this long non-coding RNA (1200 nucleotides) under Homo sapiens (human). RNAcentral's name for it is "long non-coding RNA NONHSAT153342". The record is from RNAcentral. Lineage: Eukaryota; Metazoa; Chordata; Mammalia; Primates; Hominidae.